UACGAAGGUCCCGAGCGUUAUCCGGAUUUAUUGGGUUUAAAGGGUGCGUAGGUGGGUUUGUAAGUCAGCGGUGAAAUCUCCGGGCUUAACUCGGAAACUGCCAUUGAUACUAUAGAUCUUGAAUUUUCUGGAGGUAAGCGGAAUAUGUCAUGUAGCGGUGAAAUGCUUAGAUAUGACAUAGGACACCAAUUGCGAAGGCAGCUUGCUACAGGAAUAUUGACACUGAGGCACGAAGGCGUGGGGAUCAAACAGG
RNAcentral lists this ribosomal RNA (253 nucleotides) under uncultured bacterium. Its description in RNAcentral is "partial 16S ribosomal RNA". It matches the Rfam family "Bacterial small subunit ribosomal RNA", at positions 524 to 776 of the family's 1533-position model. The record is from RNAcentral.